GUUUGAAGAUACCCUAAACUUAACCUAACAUAACCUAGCAAAACCCAAAACAGUCUUGACCCAGGAAAUUCAUAUAUGCUUCCUUACUAAUGAGACUUUCUAUACAACAAAGUGAGGUCAUUCUUUGUUGAUAUAUACCAUAAGGUGCUGGCUAUCAUGUGUUUGAAGAUACCCUAAACUUAACCUAACAUAACCUAGCAAAACCCCAAACAGUCUUGACCCAGGAAAUUCAUAUAUGCUUCCGUACUAAUGAGACUUUCUAUACAGCAAAGUGAGGUCAUUCUUUGUUGAUAUAUACCAUAAGGUGCUGGCUAUCAUGUGUUUGAAGAUACCCUAAACUUAACCUAACAUAACCUAGCAAAACCCAAAACAGUCUUGACCCAGAAAAUUCGUAUAUGCUUCCUUACUAAUGAGACUUUCUAUACAACAAAGUGAGGUCAUUCUUUGUUGAUUUAUACCAUAAGGUGCUGGCUAUCAUGUGUUUGAAGAUACCCUAAACUUAACCUAACAUAACCUAACAAAACCCCAGACAGUCUUGACGCAGAAAAUUCAUAUAUGGUUCCUUACUAAUGAGACUUUCUAUACAACAAAGUGAGGUCAUUCUUUGUUGAUAUAUACCAUCGGGGGCUUUCUGAAACUGAGAAAAUUAAGCUGAAGUGUAAAAAUGAGCCAGUAGACAUCCGAUUCAUAAUUCUCUUUUUCAACAAGUCCUUCCCUUCGUCAAACUUCAAUGGGCAAAAACGCACUUAUUUCAGGAUUUGACAGGCAUCCUUUUCCGUCAAGAGCGCUGGAAUUUUAGUGAGAGAUGACGAGUGUAUAUCAUAUUGGUGUGCGCAUGGCCUCAGCUCUCAUAUUGUAGUGUGGCGACGGGCUGAUGAGCAAGCCUCCCAUAACCCAUUCAGCCAGUGGGGUACAUCUUUGGCCGACUCGGUAAGGAACAGCUCUCCCGUCUCGCUGGUCGCGGGUUCAAUCCCAGGCAGCCGGGGAACACCCUCUCCAUGUUGUGAUCAAAUUCUCGUGUGUUUCGAUCCACGCAGAGGACGUGUGGGGCCCGAGAUUGUAAUAGAAAAAGAGAAUAGAAAAUCUCGUCAUUAAAAUAUCCGUCACAUUGCCCCAUAAUAGAAUAGUAGUGGUCUCUUGGUUUGAGGAGGCUAUGUUAAGUUUUCUCAUUCCUCGUCUUUGUUAAGUUAAUAUCUUUGUUUGUUUUCCUCUACGAUCUUUUGUGAAGUUCCCUAAGUUCCCCAAGUUCCAUAAGUUCCCUAAAUUCCCUAAGUUCCCCAAGUUCCUUAAAUUCCCUAAGUUCCCCAAGUUACAUAAGUUCCCUAAAUUCCCUAAGUGACCCAAGUUCCUUAAAUUCCCUAAGUUCCCCAAGUUCCCUAAGUUUUAUUGACGAGAGUAUAUAUAUAUCCUAUAGGUGUGCGCAUGGCCUCAGCGCUCAUAUUUGUCACAUCUGCCCAUAAUAUAAUAGAAGCAAUCUCUUGGUUUGAGGAGGUUAGGUUAAGAUUUCUCAUUGGUAAUAUACUUUUUAUAUUUUCUUUAUCUUUGUUAUCUAAUAUCUAUGU
Molecule: long non-coding RNA, 1562 nt
Organism: Eriocheir sinensis (Chinese mitten crab)
Lineage: Eukaryota; Metazoa; Arthropoda; Malacostraca; Decapoda; Varunidae
Exons: 3
Source: RefSeq, a predicted model, not a curated record